UACGGAGGGUGCAAGCGUUAUCCGGAUUUAUUGGGUUUAAAGGGUGCGUAGGUGGUUAAUUAAGUCAGUGGUUAAAUUUUAUAGCUUAACUAUGAGUGUGCCAUUGAUACUGAUUGACUAGAGUACUAUAUAGGUAGGCGGAAUUGGUGGUGUAGCGGUGAAAUGCUUAGAUACCACCAGGAACACCGAUUGCGAAGGCAGCUUGCUGGAUAGUAACUGACACUGAGGCACGAAAGCAUGGGUAGCAAACAGG
RNAcentral lists this ribosomal RNA (253 nucleotides) under uncultured bacterium. RNAcentral describes it as "partial 16S ribosomal RNA". It matches the Rfam family "Bacterial small subunit ribosomal RNA", at positions 524 to 776 of the family's 1533-position model. The record is from RNAcentral.